This 275-nucleotide ribosomal RNA is filed under the name uncultured Desulfobulbus sp. RNAcentral's name for it is "partial 16S ribosomal RNA". It matches the Rfam family "Bacterial small subunit ribosomal RNA", at positions 1107 to 1382 of the family's 1533-position model. The record is from RNAcentral. Lineage: Bacteria; Pseudomonadati; Thermodesulfobacteriota; Desulfobulbia; Desulfobulbales; Desulfobulbaceae.
GCCUUUAGUUGCCAGCAGUUCGGCUGGGCACUCUAAAGGGACUGCCGGUGUUAAACCGGAGGAAGGUGGGGAUGACGUCAAGUCCUCAUGGCCUUUAUGACCAGGGCUACACACGUACUACAAUGGCCGAUACAAGGGGCAGCGACACUGCGAGGUGAAGCCAAUCCCGUAAAAUCGGUCUCAGUCCGGAUUGGAGUCUGCAACUCGACUCCAUGAAGUUGGAAUCGCUAGUAAUCGUGGAUCAGCAUGCCACGGUGAAUACGUUCCCGGGCCUU